UAAAAAAAUCAAUCAUUAUGGUUGCAGACGAUCAAACCGACACAUGGAGAAACCUGUCAUAGAUAGAUAUCGCCAACAUGAUAGAGAUGAUAAAGAACAUAAUUGAUCGUCUUACUCUACAAAAUGAGGCUAAUAAAAUUUUGCUGACGAGGAGAAAGAUUUUGAAUACUGUCAGUUGUUCGUGGAGAGCCUCAACGGACCAGCUCUAAACCUGGUUCUCCAGAUUGACUAAAGAUUCCAUCAUUUACUUCCAUUACCUAUUUCAAAGUGGAGAGCCUCAACGGACCAGCUCUAAACCUGGUUUAUCUGGCAUGGAGCCUCGGCCACUGAUUUAUGGAAGAUGUAUUAAGGCCCUUAAGAAGGACUUAUGGAGUUCAUGGAGAAAUUCAAGAAAGUGGUCUCCAGAGUGUACGUUCUAAGCGACACAACAGUUGAAACUAUGCCACAACAAGGGAAGUGGAUAAAGAUAGCACGUGAAGAUAGUGUUUUACGUAAAUGCUAUAGUUCUUAUAACACCCAGUUUAAGAUAGCAUUUCAAAAUGAAAAUGCUAUCUUUGUUUUUUCGGAUUCUAAAACUUUGUUUUAGAUAGCAUGUGUAUCGUUAAAACGAUGUGUUUAAUCUAGGCGGAAAAAUUAUUUCAUUUCCGAGGAAAGACUUAGCAAAAAUUAUUUCACUCUCCCAAACUCUCGAAAUUCACAGCCAAUUUUUCUCUCAAUUGUUUCAUAUCUAUUUCUUCUUCUCUCAAUACCAAACCCUAAUCCCUUUUACUUUUUCUCAAUAUUUUUCUUCUCAAUCCUUAGAUAAAAAAAGACGGAUGAGAAAUCAACGCCGAGAAGCUUGGCCUUAGUCGGCUCCAAUUCCGAAUCUCUCCUCUCUCUCACACAACUAUGGUGGCUCACUUCUUCGACUCUCCACUUUGAAAUCUCUCCUCUCUUGUAUAUCUCCUCCAAUUAAACAUCUACAUAUGCUCUUGUCUCUGUAUCUUCUCCUAGUGCUCAUCGUCUCUUCAGUUCUCUCUGGCUAUCGAUCUCCUCAAACAAAAGACGAAGCUUGUUUGAAUCUCUGCUUUGUAGAUAGUUUCUUGUGUUCUUAUGCGAGUGUUUCAUUUGGCAAGCAUUGAUUACAUUGAAGAUCUUGUGACCUACAAUGCUGCUGACCACAACGUUGAACAAGUUCGUCUCUUUCUAUCUCUUGUCUUCACUACAAUGUCUAUGCAAAAGAAAUCUUGUUACCACAAUGUGUAGCGAUGGAAGGAAGGUUGAUUAGUACUUGUAUGAAGCUUUCAACUUUGAGAGUUUUAAUUGUUCAAACUUUGAGAUGCAAGCAUAAUGUGUUGUAGCAAACGAUGCUACUUGUAGCUAGUUUUUUGUGUUCUUACUUGUACCUUUUGAAUUUUGGCAAGCGUUGAUUACAUUGAAGAAGGGCUUGCAGGUUUUGAUCUGGAUAUCGAGCAGUGGUGAAAAGCGACUUAAGUUAGCUUCUGUAUCUAAAAUUGUACCUAGACAAAGAACUGUAAGAAGACAUUCUUCAUUUUCUUGUGAAAGUGUUCUUUUUGGAUCUUGUUCUGAAGCAUCUGGUUUAAAUACUGUAUCUUUCAAAGCUGUCUUCUAUGUCGUUAAGUUGCAUCCA
Long non-coding RNA from Brassica napus (rape), 1630 nucleotides. RefSeq lists it as uncharacterized. The record is from RefSeq and is a predicted model, not a curated record. Lineage: Eukaryota; Viridiplantae; Streptophyta; Magnoliopsida; Brassicales; Brassicaceae. The transcript has 2 exons.